This 21-nucleotide non-coding RNA is filed under the name Arabidopsis thaliana (thale cress). The record is from RNAcentral. Lineage: Eukaryota; Viridiplantae; Streptophyta; Magnoliopsida; Brassicales; Brassicaceae.
UCUAGUUUUUGGUGUUUUUGA